This 490-nucleotide ribosomal RNA is filed under the name uncultured bacterium. RNAcentral describes it as "partial 16S ribosomal RNA". It matches the Rfam family "Bacterial small subunit ribosomal RNA", at positions 29 to 507 of the family's 1533-position model. The record is from RNAcentral.
AUUGAACGCUGGCGGCAGGCUUAACACAUGCAAGUCGAACGGUAACAGGCAGCAGCUUGCUGCUUCGCUGACGAGUGGCGGACGGGUGAGUAAUGUCUGGGAAACUGCUUGAUGGAGGGGGACUACUACUGGAAACGGCAGCUAAUACCGCAUAACGUCGCCUGACCAAAGAGGGGGACCUUAUGGCCUCUUGCCAUCGGAUGCGCGCAGAUGGGAUGAGCUAGUAGGUGGGGUAACCGUUCCCCUAGGCGACGAUCCCUAGCUGGUGUGAGAGGAUGACAAGCCACACGGGAAGUGAGACAGGGUCCAGACUACUACGAGAGGCAGCAGACGGGAAUGUUGCGCAGUAGGGGCGAACCUGAUGCAGCGAUGCCGCGUGUAUGAAAAAGGCCGUGGGGUUGUGAAGUAGGUUCAGCGGUGAGGAAGGGAGUAAAGUUAAUACCUUUGCUCAUUGACGUUACCGGCAGAAGAAGCACCGGCUAACUACGUG